CUACUUUAUUGAAGUAUGAUUGACAUACAGAGAACACUAUAAUUGAAUGUCUACCAUCUGACGAGUUUGGAGGUAAGUAUACAUCCAUGGGUGGGACCAUCACCAUCUAUGCCAUUAAUAUACCCAUCACUUUCAGAAUUUUCCUCCCAUCCUCUCUCACUGCCUAAGUUUAAUUGUUCCAGCAUUUCAUCCCCUUCUCCUCUUCUGUGCCCUGCUUACACUCUGAGGGGCCAUUCUAUCUCUGAAUCCAAUUGCAUGUAAUAUUUUUUUAAUACUACGUAUGUAUGAACUUGACAAUAAGCGUUUAUAAUAACUAAUUUGUACCCAAAACUCUAAAAAAGUCUUCCACAUGUAUUAUGUCAUUUAGUAAGUCUCAUCAUAACCAUAAGGAGUUGGUUUAUUACUAUAACAUUUCUAUUCCACUGAUUUACUAAUGGAGGCUCAGAGAGGCUACGUGCCUUGCCCAAAGACACACAGUACAGAUAUAUUGAGAUCAGGUUUUUGAGCUGUCUGCCUUCAAAUUCUACAGGGACUGCUCUGGGCACACAACAUUCCAGAACCUGGAUGUCCAGGAAUUCAUGUCAAUUAGGCACUUAUUCUCGGAAUAAACAUUUCCCUGAAGAGCUCUCCAUGCUGGCCAGCAGCAUGGCCCCGCCACAGUUCAGUCGAGGUGAUGAGAUGCCCAUUCAUCUCGGAGGCAUGACGUGGGAGGUACGGUGCCUGGUGCAUGAUGGAUGCGCUUGGGUGUUUACGGCAGGAAUAUGUGCACGGAUGAAUGGAAGAAAUAGGAACCCAGGAGGAGGCGGGAAAGGAAGGAGAAGGCUGGCAAAAAGCUGACCUCAAUUACUUGGAGAGACGUUGAGUCGGAGACAGAAGUGAGAUUUCCAGCAGACAGUUGGCCGUGUGACCAGCUCAGGAGAGAGGUCCAGGCUGAAGAAGCAAAUCCAGGGAGUACGAGCGGGUACAAACGAUAUGAAACCGCUGGCUGGGAUCAGAUCAGUACAGGACACAGUGAGGCUGGAGAAGGCAGUGGGGAGGAAGGAAGCUUGGAGAAGAUCGGCAUUUAAUGCUGAAAGCAGGAGUCCGAGAGGGUCAGUGUUUCCUCUCCCAGGACUGCUGGGGGUUAAGUGAGAUAGAUGCCCAUGACCUGGCAGCUCCAAGAGGUCCAGGCAAGGGUGUAAGCAGAACAUUUAACAGGCACUGGCCAGUCAGAUCCGGCUGGGCCACCAGCGGGUGCCAGGCCUUCUGGGCUCCCAGCUGUGUUGGAAUCAACUCUGGAAUAGCGGUGUCAUAGAGAAGUCGGGGGAAGGAUGGCGGGAGGGUCUGGGGCAGCUGGGGCAGGGAGGGGGCAGUCGGGGACUCAGGCAGCUGCUCUGUAGAAUGUAAACAUGUAAAGACUUUAAAAAGCGGGCAGUUAUAUGGGGAUAACCUGGCUGCAUGUCAGCCCCAGGGACUGACAGCAACUAUGUACUUCCUUCCUGUGUGGCCUUGCAUUAGAAUAGUGCCCAGCAGAGAGUAAAGCAGAGUCCUAGCACAGUGCCUGGUCUAGCAUAGGCUCUCCAUAAAUGUGCCUUCCAAUCGUUUCAGGGAGUAAAGUUGCCUCCAUAGUAACAAGGAAUUUCCUCCUCUGAGCACAAUUUUUCUAUUUUAGGGAACCACAUUUCCUUUCACUUGGGAAGACCUGUCUUUUCGGCCAUUGAAUUCCUGGGAAUUUCAAAGACACAGGGCUGCAAGCUCACCGUGGCUCACAGGACAGUUGGAGCCUAAGUGAACAAUGGCCCCAUCUCGAGGGACAGCGCCAGUCAGGGUCACCCCUCUGGUAGCCUCCCCUUCCUUC
RNAcentral lists this long non-coding RNA (1837 nucleotides) under Sus scrofa (pig). Its description in RNAcentral is "lncRNA (ENSSSCG00065075162.1)". Lineage: Eukaryota; Metazoa; Chordata; Mammalia; Artiodactyla; Suidae. The record is from RNAcentral.